RNAcentral lists this microRNA precursor (76 nucleotides) under Ovis aries (sheep). Its description in RNAcentral is "miRNA (ENSOARG00000023240.1)". The record is from RNAcentral. Lineage: Eukaryota; Metazoa; Chordata; Mammalia; Artiodactyla; Bovidae.
CACCUGGGGGUCUGGUUAAAAUGCAGAGUCUGAUAUAAAUAAAAGAGUCUGUAUUUCUAACAAGGUCCCAGGUGGU